RNAcentral lists this small RNA (125 nucleotides) under Marmota monax (woodchuck). Lineage: Eukaryota; Metazoa; Chordata; Mammalia; Rodentia; Sciuridae. The record is from RNAcentral.
GCCAGGCAUGGUGGCACGUGCCUGUAAUCCCAGCAGCUCAGGAGGCUGAGGCAAGAAGAUCACAAGUUCAAAACCAGCCUCAGCAAAAGCAAGGCACUAAGCAACUCAGUGAGACCCUGUCUCUA